UAUUUAUAAUAUGACUUUGAGUUAUUAUUACUUCACUAAUACUUAAGUUCACUUAUAAUAACAAGAUAGCUUGACUUAUUAGUUUUAUGAGAUUAAAUAAUAUUAUAAUAAUGUUAAUGGUUCUAGUAUAGUGAGAAACUUAAUUAAUAAUACGAUUAAUUGAUGAUUAACUAUGGACCCUUAUAAUAAGAAUAUGCUUUUAAAUAGUUAUAUAUAUGUAUUAAUAUAAUUUAAUGUCUCAAUAAUUCUAAAAGUAUAACUAAAGGAGUUAUUUCACUUAUUAGUUGUUUAAGAGUCACCUUAAGAAGUUGUUAACGACUAAGAUAAUAACGACCUUUAAUGAGACCUUUAUGAUGUUAUAAUGACCGCUAUGACCUUAAUAAGCUCCAACUAAUAUUUAGGCUUAAAAGCUAAAUAAUGAAACAUUCAUUAAUAAAAAUAUUCUUGAAUAGAUUAAAGAAGAUAAAGGAUAUUACGAGCCUCCCCCGACUAUCAAGGUUGGUAAGCAGGAAAUUCAGGUAAGGAAGAACAGUUGUGGAUCACUAAUAGACUGCGUUAUGGAGAUUAUGUAUGAUUCUAUGAUGUUUUAGAAUAUCUUGUAUGAUGGAUAAACAAGUAUUAUUUUA
Long non-coding RNA from Beta vulgaris subsp. vulgaris (sugar beet), 626 nucleotides. RefSeq lists it as uncharacterized. The transcript is spliced from 2 exons. NCBI's taxonomy places the organism in Eukaryota, Viridiplantae, Streptophyta, Magnoliopsida, Caryophyllales, Amaranthaceae. The record is from RefSeq and is a predicted model, not a curated record.